RNAcentral lists this long non-coding RNA (2639 nucleotides) under Phoenix dactylifera (date palm). Its description in RNAcentral is "long non-coding RNA (PDAC_LNC006193)". Lineage: Eukaryota; Viridiplantae; Streptophyta; Magnoliopsida; Arecales; Arecaceae. The record is from RNAcentral.
GAAGGUGGGAAUAGGACUUUAUGCGGCAAAAAAAAUAACUAAAAAAGCCAACUUUUAUUGUCACGCCCCGAGCCCGAGGUGCGGCAGGCGCCGCACGCCCGCACGGCGGGCCGCACGGGCGCGCAAGGCAGCAGAUCAUAUCAAAGCAGAUACAGCUAUUCAAAGAUGACAUAAUUAUUUAAAUUGUUCAAAAGCGGCCUUACAAAAUUUCAAAAUAGCAUAUGCCAACAUAGUUCAAAUGUCCAAACUCAUUUAACUAAAAUGCCCAUAAUCGAAGAAAUCAUCGAAAAAUCUAACGCACUCCCCAAUCCCGUGCGAUCAAGCCUCUGAAUCUGAAAAACAGAGAAAAUAAAAUAAUGAGCUACACUAGCCCAGUAAGCAACAAAAUACCCCAAAGUGGGGUCAGAGCAUAUCAGAUCAAAACACAGGAUAAUGACUGAAAUAAAUCAUAAAUAACAUCGUUUUACUGUUUUCAAAAUUUAUGAUCAUUUUUCCAAAAACUCAGAUACCAGAAUCUCAACAUGAUAGGCUACGGCCCCGUAACCCAAUGGCAUGGGUUGCACAGAGUGCCAGAAACCACUAUUGUUAGUCACCGGUGGAAAAGGUGUCCAGAAACCACUAUUCUAAUCACCGGUGGCGCGGUGUCGAAAUCGGUUCCUCACAGAUUACAAGUCGACAGGUCCAACGUAUAAUCCCCAUUGGCGGGGCCAGAAUAGAACAGAAUAGAUCAUAGCCAUGCUGAGAAUACAUAUAUAUAAAGACAGAUUUCAUAAAUUUUCCAAUCAUAGUUUACGGAUUUCAGAGCAUACAACAUAAUUUUUAAAUAAAAUUUAACAUGCCUGACCAAUUUUACAGAAUACAAAACAUUCAUCAAAAUUUAAUCUAUUUAUCAAAUAAUUUGGAAAUUACACUUGAAGUAUUAAGUUACUUCUUCUCGCUUAAUCCCUACUUCAGAUAGGCGGAUCAGGUUCACCUGUUUAAAUUUAAUUAAUUCCUUGUUAAUAUCAGAGCUUUGCAAAAUCCAAAAAUAAUACUAUUGGACACGGCCCAACAGGGCCUAGAGUUGGCCCAUAAUUGGCAUGGCCCGAUAGGGCCCAUAUCGGGCACGGUCCAAUGGGCCCACAUAGACCCAGCUAAAUAGAGCCCCCAAGGUUGGCUUCUAGUUGGUUCAUUUAUGCAAUAAAAUUUAUUGCAGGGACUAAUACUUAAUUUCAGGAUACUAUUCUAUAAAGCUUGAGUGGACUAAAUAAAUAUAGUUGGGGACCAUUAUAUAAUAAAUCUUUUCUAUAGGGAUCAAAUACAAAUUACAGAAGACCCUUUUGUGAAAUAAUAUACUGCCAAGGGCUUAACUGCAAAAUUUCAUUUAUUGGCCAAAUGGGUUCGGAUUUCGGGUUCGGGUUCCGGGCUCGGAUCUGAACUGGGCCCAAGUUGGGCCCACAAGGGUACUGCCCAACUGGGCCCAACCGGACGGGGCCCAAGUUGGGCCUGCAGCGGACUAAGCCCAAGUUGGGCCUGCAGUGGACUGGGCCCAGCGGCCCAUCAAAGUGCUCACGGCCCACAAUGGGCCUUCUUCCUUCCCGAUCUCCCCAAAGAGGAAACUGCUCAAACACAUGGAGGUUAUCCAAAUGUAUCGGUGUUUAAGUGAAAAUCAUAAUAUUAAUAGCUAGCACUACUCAAAUCAAGAAUGAAAGAGAAAUUUGAAAAAGAAUUCCAACAACAAACUUUCCCCAACAUUUNNNNNNNNNNNNNNNNNNNNNNNNNNNNNNNNNNNNNNNNNNNNNNNNNNNNNNNNAAUGCUUAAUAUACCAAAAAGUUACUGUCCAAGAACUCAGAAUCCUCAACUCAAAACUCUUUAAAGACAUCAAGAGUACCCAGAUUUUACAUCAGUUAAGUCAAAUUGUUAUUACAAACAGAUGAUAUACCAAAGUAGAGGCAUCAUGAAGUUUCAUCAAAUGCAAUAUCGCUUUCAGUUUCAGCAUGUACCUCAUGUAUCUCAUUUUCAUGUGCCACAAAGCAUGGAUUUGCAAUAUGAUACUGCUCUUCUUCUACACAUGUUGUAUCAGAUUUGUUAGUGCAUUCAUAUUUGACUUUAAGCAUAUUCCAUAUUUCCUUAGCAGUUGUGCAAAAGGAUAUGCAAUUAAGUUCACUAUCAUCUAAUGCACAAUAUAAAAUAUUCAUUGCUUUUGCAUUUUGCUGAGCCAUUUUCUUAUUAUGAUUAGUGUUUGUGUGUGGACCAUUGACUAUGAUACUCCAUAAAUCAUAAUCAUGUGCUUGAAUAAAAAUGCGCAUGCGUGCUUUCCAAUGUGUGUAGUUUAUGCCAUUAAUGUCACGCCCCAAAUCCGGAUCAUGACACGGCCGUGCUAUUGCAAUCUUAUGCACACAAUAACACGAAGCCAUUUAAAAUUUCAUAAUAAAAAUAAAUAGUUUCAUUUACUAGUGUCAUAACAUUAUUAAUGAAGUUGGAACAGUACAAAGCUUCUAAAAUUAAUUAUUAAAUAACAUUUUUAGUUACCCCAACCCUGAAUAACACCAAGCUCCCUGCUCCUAGUAGUCUUAUUCAUCUGUAGAAAAAAGUAGAUAAAAAGGUAUGAGCUACACAGCUCAGUAAGUAACCAGGUACUAUCUUAUUUGAUCAAGUA